Small nuclear RNA from Zalophus californianus (California sea lion), 194 nucleotides. Its record names the gene U2. It matches the Rfam family "U2 spliceosomal RNA". From Rfam's summary of the family: U2 is a small nuclear RNA (snRNA) component of the spliceosome (involved in pre-mRNA splicing). Lineage: Eukaryota; Metazoa; Chordata; Mammalia; Carnivora; Otariidae. The record is from Ensembl.
AUCGCUUCUCGGCCUUUUGGCUAAGAUCAAGUGUUAACGAUGGAGAUUUUUAAUCGGUCUCUGUUUCACAGAUUAAAUUUGUAUGUUGUCAGGUCUUUUCAUUUAGGGCGUUCUAGCCUUGGUGCCGUUUCUGAGAAAUCCUUAGGAAUCUGGCGACACCGUUCAUUCAGCAGUGCAGAUGUGGGCGUCUCGAA